AUGCGAUAAGUAGUGUGAAUUGCAGAUUUCAGUGAAUCAUCGAAUCUUUGAACGCACAUUGCGCCCUUUGGUAUUCCGAAGGGCAUGCCUGUCUGAGCGUCAAUAAAUCAAUCAAACUUUGGUUUGGAAUUGGAGGAAGCGUUGGCUACAUCGCUCUUCUGUAAGCUAUUGGCGAUAGUGUUCUAGCUUGUAAGACGUAGUAAGUAAUUUCUCGUCAAUGCAGCGGUUCUUGCUAUCUGUCAGUUUAAUGAUUUAUUUCUACAGCUUGACCUCAGAUCAGGUAGGGAUACCCCCUGAACUUAA
Molecule: unclassified non-coding RNA, 303 nt
Filed under: uncultured Ascobolus
Lineage: Eukaryota; Fungi; Ascomycota; Pezizomycetes; Pezizales; Ascobolaceae
Description: partial contains 5.8S ribosomal RNA, internal transcribed spacer 2, and large subunit ribosomal RNA
Rfam family: 5.8S ribosomal RNA (bases 1-102)
Source: RNAcentral